CUCCAUUUUAGCUGUCAAUUUCAUCAGAGGUCUCAACAGAAUUUUCCAGAGCAUUACAGUCGUCAGUGAGGAACACCAAGUCCUGGAGAAACAAAAGAGAUGGCUAAUGUCAUAAGGAGAAACACAGAAGAUAAUAUUCGAGAUGGAGCCAAGACAUCCAGAUGCUGGGAUGCAGGCAUGGGGCUGAACAUAUGUUGUUAUACAUGUAUAUUAAUUGUCCUGCAAAAAGGGGCUACCUUUGAAUGAAGAACUGUUUAUUUCACAAGUUAUCCUCCCCUAUCUUCCCCAACCCCCACAAAAAGUCAGCAAAAUUCAACAUCUUUCAAAUUCAUGUUCUAGCUUGGUAUAAACCAAAAUAUGGAAGUGUCUGAUAGAGGAUAUAUUCCCUUGGAAUUGAAGUAGUCCUGCAAGGUUCAUCCGAAGACAGAAGGAGAAAUGACAGUAUACCAGUAAGAGAAAAGGGUUUUCCACCAGCCAUUUUUGGAGAGAUCGGAGUCUUGAAAGCAAGCUUUGUGAAAAGAAUUCUGUAUUUUGCAGAGGACUCUGACUGAAAUCCCCCCAAAUACCUGGAGGAAACAGGGAAAUAGAGCUGCAUUGUACUAUCUUGUAAUACAUUUCUUUGCUUUUAUAAAGGAUGAUUUGUUGAGUAACAUCAUACUUCUGAAGGGCAACGUGAUAAAUACCCAGUGAAGAAAGAAAUAUUUCAUUUGUUGGGAGUCCUGGCAGUGGGGACUUUAGGACUGCUCUUGGUAAA
Molecule: non-coding RNA, 754 nt
Organism: Anas platyrhynchos (mallard)
Lineage: Eukaryota; Metazoa; Chordata; Aves; Anseriformes; Anatidae
Source: RefSeq, a predicted model, not a curated record